This 515-nucleotide ribosomal RNA is filed under the name uncultured bacterium. Its description in RNAcentral is "partial 16S ribosomal RNA". It matches the Rfam family "Bacterial small subunit ribosomal RNA", at positions 28 to 523 of the family's 1533-position model. The record is from RNAcentral.
GAUGAACGCUGGCGGCGUGCCUAAUACAUGCAAGUCGAGCGAAUGGAUUGAGAGCUUGCUCUUAUGAAGUUAGCGGCGGACGGGUGAGUAACACGUGGGUAACCUGCCCAUAAGACUAGGAUAACUCCGGGAAACCGGGGCUAAUACCGGAUAACAUUUUGAACCGCAUGGUUCGAAAUUGAAAGGCGGCUUAGGCUGUCACUUAUGGAUGGACCCGCGUCGCAUUAGCUAGUUGGUGAGGUAACGGCCAACCAAGGCAACGAUGCGUAGCCGACCUGAGAGGGUAAUCGGCCACACUGGGACUGAGACACGGCCCAGACUCCUACGGGAGGCAGCAGUAGGGAAUCUUCCGCAAUGGACGAAAGUCUGACGGAGCAACGCCGCGUGAGUGAUGAAGGCUUUCGGGUCGUAAAACUCUGUUGUUAGGGAAGAACAAGUGCUAGUUGAAUAAGCUGGCACCUUGACGGUACCUAACCAGAAAGCCACGGCUAACUACGUGCCAGCAGCCGCCGUAA